Long non-coding RNA from Equus caballus (horse), 2643 nucleotides. The record is from Ensembl. NCBI's taxonomy places the organism in Eukaryota, Metazoa, Chordata, Mammalia, Perissodactyla, Equidae.
AGAUUAGGAGGGAAAAAGAGUUGAACUCAUAAGCAGAAUUAGGAGCUUUGGGCUUCUUGUCCUAUUUUGGGUUCAGCCUGGUGAACUGCAGUGGGACAAGAGAGACAGUGAAGAGCUGGGGGCUGCCCCCCAGGGUGUCAGGAACCUACUGGAGGAUCCAGCUGCCAGGUCUGGGAGGGGUCCAGACUGGCUGGCAGAAUAUAGUGCACGGAAGGGGGUACAGCAGGUGACAGUCCAGGAACCUUUAGAGUUGGGUGUCCCAAAGCAAAACGGCCAGGUUGUCCCUGCAGGUGGGGCACAGUACAGAGACAUGGGGUACACAGAUGGGUGUGUACGGAAAUUGUGGCAACCCAGUCCAUCGAGGGGGCUUAGCCACUGUUAGGACUCUGGGUCCUGGAGAAGAAAUGGAAAAAGCAAGGAGGGCAGACAGGUUUCAGCUCCAAUGCUAGGUAUAAUGGAUUGGUAGUGGCUGUCUGGAGCUCUGGGUCAGGAGGAUUUUAAGUGUGGCUUCAGCAGAAAACGUGGGAAAGAAUGAUGUGACUGACUACCAAUGAGUGCUGUGGGUGCUUUGUGGGGAUUUUCUUCUGCACCUUUAAUCCCUCCUGUCCCGGUCCAGGACUUGGACAAGGACUGUGCUGUGGCCCCUGCUGGAGUAGGGAUGAGGCAAAGCCACCUACAGGGACAGCCUGGACUGACUCAUUCUGGAAAGAAGACAGAUGGGCUCCUUGGGGCUCCCAAGUCCUGUUGGCAGGGCUGACCUCUCAGCCUAACCUCAUCCAUCCAGGCUCCUCUGAGGGACUGGCCAGGCCUGGAGAAGUCAUUUGGGGAGUGUUUAAGAUCAGAAGAAAAAGAAAAUAGCCAGGAUCUGGGAGAUUCAUUAACUUUUCUGUGCUGUGUCCUGACACCUGGUUUUCCGUUGGGGAAAUUCAUGGAUGACUCUGCCUCCUUCUUGACCUCUGUGGUCCUGGCUGGGCCUCCUGACUUUGUUACUUCAGCUCAUCCUUCAGAAGACAACUGUGCACCUCUUCAGCCCCCCAGUACAUAGUUGUAUAUUCUUCGUUGUGGGUCCUUCUAGUUGUGGCACAUGCCUCAGCGUGGUUUGAUGAGCAGUGCCAUGUCCACGCCCAGGAUUCGAACCAACGAAACACUGGGCCGCCUGCAGUGGAGCGCGCGAACUUAACCACUCGGCUACGGGGCCAGCCCCAGGACUGCCUUUUAAGGCCUUUCAUAAUCUACUCCUCCUCCCUGAUUUAAUAUAAGACAGUUCUGCUCUUCAAAUCAGCUGAGAGUAGCUAGAAACAUACAAGCUGAGCACAGAGGGGUUAAAAUGAAAUGGGAAGUGAGAGAAAUGUCCUAGGGGUGGCUGGAAGGACAUGAUAUCAAGGUGAUGGGCCUCUGGGGAGAUGGCACCAGCCAUUGAGCCACUCGUGAAAUAAACACAAAAUGAUGCUGUGGAACAGAACAGCCAGUAAAUGGUACCAGUGUCACCACAUUCCUCUGUACCAGUCAAUCCUGGCACUCGAGACCCAGUGAGGCCUCAGAAUGCUUCUCAAGACAUUGCCAAGGGGACCAGUCCAAUGGACUUGGAUUAAUGUAGAGAUGACAUCUAGUGACCAUCCCCUUCUAGAAGAACGAGUGAAGCAGUUGAGCUUCUCCCAGCAGUAGACCCAGCCUUACCUAGCUCUGGGGAAGAUGCUACAGGCAAAAUAGAACCAUGAGAGGUGCAGACGUGGGCAGACUGGUUGCUCUUCUUCCUGGGCACACAGCUACCCUACAUAUUCCAGCCUCCCUUGUGAAAUCCCUGGGGCCAUGUGAGUGGGUUCCAGCCAAAGGAAUGAGGAGAAGCUACGUGCCAGUGUGGGCCUGGCCAUGAAGGCUUGAGCACAGUCCUCUGUGAUCCUACCCUUCCAUCUGUGGAGCCAGAGGCUGAAGAUGGUGGAGCCAUAGGAUGGAAGGAAACUAAAUACCAGCCACUGCUUGGAGGAGGGCUGCUUGCCAGUCAAGAAGACCCAUUAUGGACUUUACUGUGAUUCCACUGACUCUGGCCUCCGUCGUCCGCUGGGAAGUCCACGGUCAGUCUGAAGGCCCCGCCUUGGCAGCUGGAACUCACCUCGCAGCGGCCCUGUUUACUCACCUACCAGCUGCCUUCCUUAGAACCAGUUUUGUUCCUGUUCAGAAGGAAACCAGGCAGAGUUGGGAAAAUAUUUCCUCAGCCAGCUCCGCAGCCCCACUGUCUGGCGGAGGCCAUCUGGCCGGGAUGCACUCCGAGGGAGUAAACGCAGAAUUGCCCUCUCCCCGCACGACAGGGCAGAGAAGACGGCAGGUCCCAAGACGGGCUGCUACUGUGCUGAUUCUAACUCAUCUCCGGAAGUCCCCAGAGUCCAGCAGUGUGCUGGUGAUGUUUCACCACCGGCUCCCUGGGAGGGUGGAGGUGGGUGUUGAUCUCCAUGGACAAUUUGGAACUACCAAAAGUGAACUCACGGAACACGGAGUUAGCAAGAGAUGCACAGUAGCACUCCACUGUGCAAGAUUUCUACCAUACGGAUAUCAUAGAUGUACAUGACCCCAAGAGCAUAGAUAAGAAAAUGCAGUAAAAUAAUUAGCAAGCGAUGAGUUUUGAGUAUUUCCUGCCUUUGUUUGUAA